Molecule: ribosomal RNA, 955 nt
Filed under: Ceriporia manzanitae
Lineage: Eukaryota; Fungi; Basidiomycota; Agaricomycetes; Polyporales; Irpicaceae
Description: eukaryotic LSU rRNA
Rfam family: Eukaryotic large subunit ribosomal RNA
Source: RNAcentral
CUGAUCUCAAAUCAGGUAGGACUACCCGCUGAACUUAAGCAUAUCAAUAAGCGGAGGAAAAGAAACUAACAAGGAUUCCCCUAGUAACUGCGAGUGAAGCGGGAAAAGCUCAAAUUUAAAAUCUGGCAGUCUUUGAUUGUCCGAGUUGUAUUCUAGAGAAGUGUCUUCCGCGUUGGACCGUGUACAAGUCUCUUGGAACAGAGCGUCAUAGAGGGUGAGAAUCCCGUCUUUGACACGGACUACCAGUGCUUUGUGAUGCGCUCUCAAAGAGUCGAGUUGUUUGGGAAUGCAGCUCAAAAUGGGUGGUAAAUUCCAUCUAAAGCUAAAUAUUGGCGAGAGACCGAUAGCGAACAAGUACCGUGAGGGAAAGAUGAAAAGCACUUUGGAAAGAGAGUUAAACAGUACGUGAAAUUGUUGAAAGGGAAACGCUUGAAGUCAGUCGCGUUAGUCAGAACUCAGCCUUGCUUUUGCUUGGUGCACUUUCUGAUUGACGGGCCAGCAUCAGUUUUGACUGCAGGAGAAAGGUUGGAGGAAUGUGGCACCUUCGGGUGUGUUAUAGCCUCUGAUUGUAUACUGUGAUUGGGACUGAGGAACUCAGCACGCGCAAGCUGUGCUUAGGAUGCUGGCGUAAUGGCUUUAAACGACCCGUCUUGAAACACGGACCAAGGAGUCUAACAUGCCUGCGAGUAUUUGGGUGGUAAACCCGAGUGCGCAAUUAAAGUGAAAGUUGGGAUCUCUGUCGUGGAGAGCACCGACGCCCGGACCAGACCUUCUGUGACGGAUCUGCGGUAGAGCAUGUAUGUUGGGACCCGAAAGAUGGUGAACUAUGCCUGAAUAGGGUGAAGCCAGAGGAAACUCUGGUGGAGGCUCGUAGCGAUUCUGACGUGCAAAUCGAUCGUCAAAUUUGGGUAUAGGGGCGAAAGACUAAUCGAACCAUCUAGUAGCUGGUUCCUGC